Molecule: ribosomal RNA, 639 nt
Filed under: Hygronarius renidens
Lineage: Eukaryota; Fungi; Basidiomycota; Agaricomycetes; Agaricales; Cortinariaceae
Description: eukaryotic LSU rRNA
Rfam family: Eukaryotic large subunit ribosomal RNA
Source: RNAcentral
UGACCUCAAAUCAGGUAGGACUACCCGCUGAACUUAAGCAUAUCAAUAAGCGGAGGAAAAGAAACUAACAAGGAUUCCCCUAGUAACUGCGAGUGAAGCGGGAAAAGCUCAAAUUUAAAAUCUGGCAGUCUUUGGCUGUCCGAGUUGUAAUCUAGAGAAGCGUUAUCCGCGUUGGACCGUGUACAAGUCUCCUGGAAUGGAGCGUCAUAGAGGGUGAGAAUCCCGUCUUUGACACGGACUGCCAGGGCUUUGUGAUGCGCUCUCAAAGAGUCGAGUUGUUUGGGAAUGCAGCUCAAAAUGGGUGGUAAAUUCCAUCUAAAGCUAAAUAUUGGCGAGAGACCGAUAGCGAACAAGUACCGUGAGGGAAAGAUGAAAAGAACUUUGGAAAGAGAGUUAAACAGUACGUGAAAUUGCUGAAAGGGAAACGCUUGAAGUCAGUCGCGUUGGCCAGGGAUCAACCUUGCUUUUGCUUGGUGUACUUUCUGGUUAACGGGUCAACAUCAAUUUUGACUAUUGGAAAAAGAUUAGGGGAAUGUGACAUCUUCGGAUGUGUUAUAGCCUUUAGUUGUAUACAAUAGUUGGGAUUGAGGAACUCAGCACGCCGCAAGGCCGGGUUUUUAACUACGUACGUGCUUAGGA